Molecule: long non-coding RNA, 2157 nt
Organism: Etheostoma spectabile (orangethroat darter)
Lineage: Eukaryota; Metazoa; Chordata; Actinopteri; Perciformes; Percidae
Exons: 4
Source: RefSeq, a predicted model, not a curated record
UUACGGAAGCCCCCGCGAAUUACGCAAGAGUCCCGCCUCCGCCUCGUGUGCUAUGUUUACAAUUUCGGCGAGGAAGAUGAAGCGGAGCUAUUCUUCUAGUCAGGUAAAGAGAAAAACAAAACCCCACCGCAAUCAGGUGUUUUAUGAGCUACAGGCGCUCAGGAUCAAGGAAAAUCCAAACCUGUGACCUCACUCUGAGAUGCUGGUGCACAGCUACUUUCCUGACCCAUUUUUCCUGGGUGGCCCACAUCUCCUUUAAGCCCCAUCUCUCCUGACACUCCUGGGGAAGAAGAGAAAGAAACAGAGGAUGAGAGGAGGGAAGAGCAAGGUUGAAGAAUAUAUGGAGAUGAUUUAAGGUCAUUAUUUUCGAACGUGACCUUUUCACGAACUGCCAUGACACUGGGCUGCUCUGGGUGACGUAACAGCAGGCAAAUGAAACCCCACACGCAGGGCGGUGACAAAAACUCGCGCAGGGACACGAUCCGUGGUCUCUGGGGGAUGCAACAACGGGGAAAUGAAAAACCACAUACCGGCGACAACAACGGGACGGACCACCACGCGCGGGACGCAAUCCCCGGGUGCAGGGACACAAUCUGCUGUCUCUGUGGCACGCGACAAUGAGCAAAUGAAAGACCAUACGCCAGCAACAACAACAGGACGGAUGUGGUUAGGAAAAAGAUAAACACAGAAAGGAACUGCAACACGCGAGAUGCGAUCCCCAGUCUCCAGGGUGAAAGUUCUGUGUUUUCUGACCCAUCCACCGCCACGACCUACCUCCCUGCGUGGAUUUUUGGCUUUUCAAUACUAUCUACCGUAAUUGUUCUGUGAUCACAAAAUAGGCUUCCCUUUGAAAUACAUUACUUCAAAAUUCGUCAUCAACACACGAAAAUAAUGACAUUAACGUGACCUGUACACAAAUAAAUAGAUGAAAUAACGUGACCAUUUCACGAACUGCCAUGAGACUGGGCUGGUAUGUGAAUGUCUGAGGUCCAUCGAGUUGGACAUAUGGACAAGUCUGUGCACGAUGGACUCAGUCGUUUUGAGUGGUCGUAAAGCUUUCUAAAAGAGGGGAUUUGGGAGUCACCAGAACAUUUUUCUACAAGAAAGUGGAUUUGUCUAAAACUCUCCUGUCAGAAAGGAACCACUUAUUGUGUUUUCUUUUGGUUGUGGAUUACCUAUUUUUUAUGUUAUUUUUUUGUUAUUUUGGAGGCUCAGGGAAUUUUGUUCUGCUCUGUGUCUGCUUUUUUACCAGAGAGCUGUUGCAUACACACUAUUUUUUAAAGAUGAGAUAACAUUGAUCUUCAUUUACUUGUAGUCCCCUUUUUCUGUUGUUCCAAAUAGAAUAUUUUUCUCUGCUUAAUUUAUCUUAAUCUUCAUGGUUUUCCUUAUUUUCUGGUUGUGGUGGGGAAAUGUUUUCUUGACUGCAGAGAGAAGAAAUGGCAUAAAUCAGCAUUAAGUUGUGUCCAAAAAUAAAUCCAGCCUCAUACAAAGACACCAAUACAUGUGAACAAGCACAAAAAGUUUGGCAAAAAAACAGGAAUCCACAUGAAUAAACUCUCUUUGACUUAAAGGGAUCUUACAAGGUUACCCCCUAACCAUUUUUCCAAAUAAAUUGCUCUAAACUGUAUAUUUAGUUACAUUUAUCUAUCUAACAUCUAAACACAUAUCUAACAUCUAAAAAUGUUUCCAAAAAUGAUUUAAAUGACAUGUGAUAUGUUAAAACAUAUCUUGCUUUGGAGGAGAGUAGGUUUUAAAAACAUGAGCACCCACUAACUCAUCAUGUUUAUCGCCUGUAUUUUUCCUCCUCUGCUUCCAUGUCUCGAUUACCUCUAUAAUAUAUGACACAUAACUCGCCUGUAAUUUAAAGAAAUGUAAACAUUUUGGUUUAUAUGAAGCAGGCUCAACUAACAAGCUGUAGUUUGAUACUGAAAUAGUGCCAUGGAAAGUGUAAGUGUGUGCAUACAUCUCUCUUCAGCUCUGACAUGGGUUCGGUGCUAACUCAAGAAGUUCCACUCUACUUUGAAUAACUGUUUACUUUUUAGUAAAAGGUUUUCUCAUUUAAUCAUGACCAAAACCUUCCCUAACAUCAAGGUACCUUUUAACAUGACAUGCAGGUAGGCAACAGCAGGCUUCUCAUUUCUAGGCAGUGACCUUUUA